RNAcentral lists this ribosomal RNA (248 nucleotides) under uncultured Actinomycetes bacterium. Its description in RNAcentral is "uncultured actinobacterium partial 16S ribosomal RNA". It matches the Rfam family "Bacterial small subunit ribosomal RNA", at positions 28 to 276 of the family's 1533-position model. The record is from RNAcentral. Lineage: Bacteria; Bacillati; Actinomycetota; Actinomycetes.
GACGAACGCUGGCGGCGUGCUUAACACAUGCAAGUCGAGCGGUGAGGCCCUUUCGGGGUACGACGAGCGGCGAACGGGUGAGUAACACGUGGGUGACCUGCCCUCAGCUCUGGGAUAAGCCUGGGAAACCGGGUCUAAUACUGGAUAUGACUCCAUGACGCAUGUUGUGGGGUGGGAAAGCCUUGUGCGGCUGAGGAUGGGCCCGCGGCCUAUCAGCUUGUUGGUGGGGUGAUGGCCUACCAAGGCGA